UUCAAUAUACUGCACAGAAGUAAUGCUUCCUGCACAGCAGACGCUACUGAGGAUUUUCCAAGCAGUUUUCCAAUCUCUAUUUAGCAUAAACUGCACAGGUGUUAGAUUCAUGCUUGUGAUAUGUAACCUACGAUGAAGGAGAGCACCCCUCUGGUUUGAAAGGACAGGGGAGGUGAUAGCACAAGCCAUGUCAGAGGGAGAUGAUUAGCCAGAGGAACUGCAAGCACCUGGAGCCAUUUGUCUCUUCUGGAGGAGCCAGUGGCCAAGAGGAGUCAACACUCAAGUCGUCCUAGGAAAGAAAGAAAACAGGGAUGAAGGACUCCAGCUCUGAUCACUACUGAUGCUUCCAAAUCUUCUUGUCACUGUGCUAUACUCCAAAGGUCACAUCUUCACGAGCAUGACGCUGCCAGCUCAGACAGAUGUGCAGGCUUCAGGAGAGGUCAUUUGAAUGCUUAUGGAUAUGGGCACCCUAUAGACCAAAAUGUGUGAAAAAUGCUGCACGGGAAGCAGCAGCACAGGUUUACCCACACCAUCCUCACGACAUCGGCCACCUGAUUUGGUCAGAAAGAAAAACAAGGGAGAUGCUGUUCCUCAUCCUG
This is a long non-coding RNA of Hirundo rustica (Barn swallow), 599 nucleotides long. RefSeq lists it as uncharacterized. NCBI's taxonomy places the organism in Eukaryota, Metazoa, Chordata, Aves, Passeriformes, Hirundinidae. The record is from RefSeq and is a predicted model, not a curated record. The transcript is spliced from 3 exons.